RNAcentral lists this ribosomal RNA (232 nucleotides) under uncultured bacterium. RNAcentral describes it as "partial 16S ribosomal RNA". It matches the Rfam family "Bacterial small subunit ribosomal RNA", at positions 524 to 755 of the family's 1533-position model. The record is from RNAcentral.
UACGUAGGGUGCGAGCGUUAAUCGGAAUUACUGGGCGUAAAGCGUGCGCAGGCGGUUAUAUAAGACAGAUGUGAAAUCCCCGGGCUCAACCUGGGAACUGCAUUAGUGACUGUAUGGCUAGAGUGCGGCAGAGGGGGAUGGAAUUCCGCGUGUAGCAGUGAAAUGCGUAGAUAUUUGGAGGAACACCGAUGGCGAUGGCACGCCCCGUGGCUAACACUGACGCUCAUGCACG